AUUGCUUUGGUAGCACAUAUAUGAAAAAAUUGGAAUAAUAAUGAGAAGAUUAGCAUGGCCCCUGCCCAAGGAUGAAACACAAAUUUGUGAAGCAUUCCAUGUUUUU
Molecule: small nuclear RNA, 106 nt
Organism: Bos taurus (domestic cattle)
Lineage: Eukaryota; Metazoa; Chordata; Mammalia; Artiodactyla; Bovidae
Source: Ensembl